Molecule: transfer RNA, 58 nt
Filed under: Dipodomys ordii (Ord's kangaroo rat)
Lineage: Eukaryota; Metazoa; Chordata; Mammalia; Rodentia; Heteromyidae
Rfam family: tRNA
About the family: Transfer RNA (tRNA) molecules are approximately 80 nucleotides in length. Their secondary structure includes four short double-helical elements and three loops (D, anti-codon, and T loops).
Source: Rfam by way of RNAcentral
UGGCUCAGUGGUAGAGCGCUUGUCUUGCAUGCAUGAGGCCCUGGGUUCAAUUCCCCAG